UAUUUUUAUCGACAGCUUACGAGUUUGCAGGUGUAUGUCUGACUAAGCACUGCUGCUCUCAUUGAUGUUAGCACACUUCACCUUUUUAUACAGAAUCCAGCCAGUUUCCAGUCUCUUUCUGAAAUCUUCUUGGUACUUUAUUCUUGGAUGAAGACUGUUACGGCCCUGGGCUGAGAUAAUGCUAUCACUGGUCACCAUGCAGAAAGGGAAACCAUCACUGUCAAGGGAUGAUAAGGAAGUAGAUGCCAUCAGUGUCAUGAGAUCAUAGGGAAGAGCCAUCCCUGUCUCUCACACAAGGAGGCAACAUUGCUGAAGGGAAUGGAAGUUAGCACAUCAGUAUUUUGUCUGAUACAUCCAUCCCAUCAUUCUGGUCACCUAUGCACAGGAUUGGUUGGUCUACUGACUCUCAGAAAGCAACACUUGGAAAACAGAAAGAGACCAGAAAACGAAUCCUCUUUUCAUGCAGUUCCUGGAAGAAUAAGGUCCUUGGCCCAUUCAGUGUACCAAAGGAAUGCAUGCCAAAGAAGAGCUGAUGCAAUUUCAUACACAGAAGCUGUUCAGGUAAAAUAUCCUUUAUCUUAUAACCAUUGGAGAUAUAUAAUUACAAGGUCGGGAGAAAGCUAAAUAUCAUGUUCUCCCUCUAGCUAUUUCAUUUCCUCCCCACCCCACGAUGCGUCAAUCCAUCUCCCUGACCGUACUGUUUCCAUUCUCCAUGUAUUUACACUGACAAGAGACUGAAUUAAUGGGGGAUGGCAAAAGGAGGUGAAAUAGUACUUGCUGGUGAAAAGAAGAAACACACCUGGAGGAAUGGGAUGUUGUCCUUUAUUUCAGUGUGAUUGUGCAAUCUCCAGACAUUAUCUACUAUCCACAUGGCACUCAGCUUGAAUCAUUGUCUUCCCACAUUGCAGNGGUCGGGAGAAAGCUAAAUAUCAUGUUCUCCCUCUAGCUAUUUCAUUUCCUCCCCACCCCACGAUGCGUCAAUCCAUCUCCCUGACCGUACUGUUUCCAUUCUCCAUGUAUUUACACUGACAAGAGACUGAAUUAAUGGGGGAUGGCAAAAGGAGGUGAAAUAGUACUUGCUGGUGAAAAGAAGAAACACACCUGGAGGAAUGGGAUGUUGUCCUUUAUUUCAGUGUGAUUGUGCAAUCUCCAGACAAUAUCUACUAUCCACAUGGCACUCAGCUUGAAUCAUAGUCUUCCCACAUUGCAUGGUAUUGUUUGCACAGUAAGAAGCUGAACCAGCAAGGUGUUUAAGCCCGCUAUCCAUCCAGUGGGAGCUGGGGGCCCACUCAACAUUUCAAAGCAUCAAGUUGUAAAUAAUCAGAAAGAGGCCUCUUGUAGCAAAUGCAGAAUGUUAGCUGUAGCUACGUACCUGUCCUUAUGAAAAAGUCCUAUGUAAUUUAAAAAGAAUGAAACUAAUAGGGUUCUAUAGAAAUUAGUCUAAAAACCCAGUCCUACUGACUUCUAUAACAGGUAAAUGCUAGCGGAUGGGGAAAAACUUAACCAACGAUUGAUCUGUGAUGGGAAUGUUUCUAUUAUUGAAUGUGCAUGACUACUGGAAAUUAUUAUUCUAUUUUUCUUUAUUGUUGGUAUAUUUAUAUAUGCAGUCUGAGUCCUCAAUGAAAUAAUAAUGUAAAAAAAGCAAUAGAAAAGUUGCAAUUUUUGUUAAAUUGCCCAGGAUUUUCCACCAGGGUGGGGAUGUUCUGUUUCCUGUAUCUUCAAGGCGUUCCUGUAUCUUCAGGUCAGAAAAAGGCACACAAUGCUGUCUCUGGGGAUGUUAGUCAUAUAGCUUAGCACACUAUGGGAAGGUGCGCAGGCACUCAGGUGCAGUGUAAGAACUAUAUUGAAUAGACUACAGCAAUCAUGUUUAAGACAGACCUGACACAGAAUGUUCAAGGAGACCCACGCUGUCCAUGUUUUUCCAUGGAGAGUUGACUUAUGUUCUUUUCUUUCUUGUGUUUCCCUAAAUGUGCAAUAAAG
Molecule: long non-coding RNA, 1980 nt
Filed under: Gopherus agassizii (Agassiz's desert tortoise)
Lineage: Eukaryota; Metazoa; Chordata; Testudines; Testudinidae
Description: lncRNA (ENSGAGG00000025565.1)
Source: RNAcentral